RNAcentral lists this unclassified non-coding RNA (158 nucleotides) under uncultured Sordariomycetes. Its description in RNAcentral is "sequence contains ITS1". The record is from RNAcentral. Lineage: Eukaryota; Fungi; Ascomycota; Sordariomycetes.
CCGAGUUUACACACUCCAAACCCCUGUGAACAUACCUACCGUUGCUUCGGCGUGACGCCCCGGGUGCCUUCUGGCCCCGGAUCCAGGCGCCCGCCGGGGACCUCAAACUCCUGUUUUUACCACGUGGAUCUUCUGAGUGGCGUAAAGCAAAUCAAUCA